This 346-nucleotide unclassified non-coding RNA is filed under the name soil metagenome. RNAcentral describes it as "partial contains 5.8S ribosomal RNA, internal transcribed spacer 2, and large subunit ribosomal RNA". The stretch from base 1 to 121 matches the Rfam family "5.8S ribosomal RNA", at positions 35 to 154 of the family's 154-position model. The record is from RNAcentral.
GAUGAAGAACGCAGCGAAAUGCGAUAAGUAAUGCGAAUUGCAGAAUUUCCGUGAGUCAUCGAAUCUUUGAACGCACAUUGCGCCCACUGGUAUUCCGGUGGGCAUGCCUGUUCGAGCGUCAUUAUCCUCCCUCAAACCCCGGGUUUGGUGUUGGACCGAAGUUGUGUGAACAACUGGUCUCAAAGACAAUGACGGCGUCCGUGGGACCCUCAGUGCAUCGAGCUUGCAUAAGCACGCAUUGAGUUGCAAGGUCCUUCCGGGCCGGUCUACUUUUACAUUUUCUGAAAGUUGACCUCGGAUCAGGUAGGAAUACCCGCUGAACUUAAGCAUAUCAAUAAGCGGAGGA